This is a long non-coding RNA of Gadus morhua (Atlantic cod), 619 nucleotides long. RefSeq lists it as uncharacterized. The record is from RefSeq and is a predicted model, not a curated record. NCBI's taxonomy places the organism in Eukaryota, Metazoa, Chordata, Actinopteri, Gadiformes, Gadidae. The transcript is spliced from 3 exons.
UUUUUUGUGACUUCUGGGAGGUUAUUCAACCAUCUGCCUCCAAGUUGGUUUAUUGGUCGAAAGCUCAGAAAAAGAAACAAACAUUUGAACCCAUUUCUCCCAGUCCAACGUGUAGACUGCAACUGGUUGAGUUUUUUCUCUUCUGCUGCCGGGUUGCUGCAGGCCUGCAAGAGAAGGUGCUGGCUGACAUGUUUCAGAGCUGACUGAACGAAGUGGACUGCUGGAUUUACUGGAGCCAGGAGAUGGCUGCAUGGCAGACAAGGGUUUUACCAUCGAGAAACCACUAGCUGAUCGUGGGGCAACGCUGAUUAUACCACCCUUCAAGAUGACAGUUCACUGAAGAGGAUGCUCUGAAAACACAAGCAAUCGCUCGACUUCGAAUCCUCGUAGAAAGAGCAAUAGGCAGAGUCAAGGAAUACCGCAUCUGGGAACGCACUGUCCUUUCACCUUGUCUGCGACAGUCAAUCAGCUGUGGACCGUCUGCUGUGUGAUGACCAACUUCCAGGGACCACUUGAUUUAAAAGGCUACAUCCCUGUUGAAUAGUGUUUCUACUCAAACAUGUACCUAUAAAUAUUAAAUAUAAUAUAUAAAUAUUAAAACGAGAGGCACUGAACAUUU